UGCGCCCCUCGGCAUUCGACAUUCGACUUUCAACAUUCGGCACUCGACGAGGGACAGGAAACUGCAGCUCCAAGUGACCGCCACUGCAACUGCAUUUCGGACUCGAGAUUGGCCAGUUAUCUGCUGCCAGUCCUCCUCCUCCUGUUUCUCAGUCGCUCAGUGCAGCAGACAGCUACCCGUCAUUGUCCGGAGGCACGAGCUCGAUUAGUUGCUAGGGAAAGGUGUGCACUGCGAGAAAAUAGGCACUGGAAACAGAUACAAUCUAAACUACUCAAUCUCUUGAAGUAAAGAGCUCUGAGUUCAGUAACUGCGUAGCUCAUGGAAUAGUAAGAUUAUAAAUGUUUAAUUAAAGGGAAUUAACCUUUUUCCCAGUGUACUGUUUGCCUUUGACCGGACGUUAAUUGGAUCACCCCAGCUGGACCCCAGUAGGACCUACUCCCGGUUCCAAUCUUGGCAGCUGUCUGCCGAACGUCGCCCGCUGGGCACACAUGUCCUGUGAUGUGUCCACCCAUGUGCUGAGUCCUCCUUUGAUUGCCUACUAAUCCUGGACAUCGAUGCUCGGGCGACAAUCGAAGUAAACAGCCAGACAAAUGGGCAAACAAAUGAGCCGGGGCGUGUGUCCUUAAACGAGCCAAAUUGGAUCAUAACUGCGAAAUGCUCAAAUGGUGAAAUGCUGAAAUGCUGAAAUCUGUGCAAACAGCGCUCUAAUUAAGUCCUGCGGAGAGGGUCCCCAUAAAAAGGACCUCGCUCCAAAUAGCCGACCAUUAAAGCCGGACAAUGGGGGCGCGUGUUUUCUGAAUUGCGUCACAAGAGCACUGACUUGGAUCGAGAAUAAAUCAUUUUGGGGGUAGUCUGCAUAAAACUCUGACGUCAGCUGGUUUCUGAAAUGUAGUGAAAUCACGACAUUCAAAUGAAUUAGAAACAAGCUAUUUACGGACUUUAUCGAAACACUUAUUUUCAAAAUGGAAAACUAAAAACUUCUAAGUCAGAUAAAACUUGGGGGGACCAGCGAAGGAGAAGGGCCUUGGGAACCUUCGGAUCGAUCCACUGUUACUAGGCUCCCGAUAAGCCAAGACCAGAAGUACCCAAAAGCGUGGAGGCGUUUCCCAUGUGUAUUUGACCUCCCCCCUUUUCAUGUUCAGAACCCAAGUCUCCGACAGAAACAGAAACCAAAACAACGCAAUAUCAGCAAUCUGGGCUUAUAAUGGGGGCGAAACUACCGAUCGAAGCCACUCACAGCCACCAGAAUCAACGGAACCAGAGCCACCAGCACCACACUCUCCAUUGAAAUAUAAUUGGUCCCAUGGGCACCUACUUAUCGCCA
Non-coding RNA from Drosophila melanogaster (fruit fly), 1324 nucleotides. The record is from Ensembl. NCBI's taxonomy places the organism in Eukaryota, Metazoa, Arthropoda, Insecta, Diptera, Drosophilidae.